This 497-nucleotide ribosomal RNA is filed under the name uncultured bacterium. Its description in RNAcentral is "partial 16S ribosomal RNA". It matches the Rfam family "Bacterial small subunit ribosomal RNA", at positions 28 to 507 of the family's 1533-position model. The record is from RNAcentral.
GAUGAACGCUGGCGGCGUGCCUAAUACAUGCAAGUCGAGCGAACAGAUGAGGAGCUUGCUCCUCUGACGUUAGCGGCGGACGGGUGAGUAACACGUGGAUAACCUACCUAUAAGACUGGGAUAACUUCGGGAAACCGGAGCUAAUACCGGAUAAUAUAUUGAACCGCAUGGUUCAAUAGUGAAAGACGGUUUUGCUGUCACUUAUAGAUGGAUCCGCGCCGCAUUAGCUAGUUGGUAAGGUAACGGCUUACCAAGGCGACGAUGCGUAGCCGACCUGAGAGGGUGAUCGGCCACACUGGAACUGAGACACGGUCCAGACUCCUACGGGAGGCAGCAGUAGGGAAUCUUCCGCAAUAGGCGAAAGCCUGACGGAGCAACGCCGCGUGAGUGAUGAAGGUCUUCGGAUCGUAAAACUCUGUUAUUAGGGAAGAACAAAUGUGUAAGUAACUAUGCACGUCUUGACGGUACCUAAUCAGAAAGCCACGGCUAACUACGUG